AUGAACGCUAGCGGCAGGCUUAACACAUGCAAGUCGAGGGGCAACACGGGUAGCAAUACCUGGUGGCGACCGGCGCAAGGGUGCGUAACGCGUGAGCAACAUGCCCUAUACAGGGGGAUAAUCCAGGGAAACUUGGUCUAAUAUCCCAUAGUAUUUAGAGGUGGCAUCACCACUAAAUUAAAGCUUCGGUGGUAUAGGAUUGGCUCGCGUGACAUUAGCUGGAUGGUGGGGUAACGGCUCACCAUGGCGAUGAUGUCUAGGGGUUCUGAGAGGAAGACCCCCCACACUGGGACUGAGACACGGCCCAGACUCCUACGGGAGGCAGCAGUGAGGAAUAUUGGACAAUGGAUGGAAAUCUGAUCCAGCCAUGCCGCGUGCAGGAAGACGGCCCUAUGGGUUGUAAACUGCUUUUAUAUGGGAGCAAUAAGGUUUACGCGUAGACCGAUGAGAGUACCAUAUGAAUAAGCAUCGGCUAACUCCGUG
Molecule: ribosomal RNA, 483 nt
Filed under: uncultured bacterium
Lineage: Bacteria
Description: bacterial SSU rRNA
Rfam family: Bacterial small subunit ribosomal RNA
Source: RNAcentral